AGAGCGAACGCUGGCGGCAGGCCUAAUACAUGCAAGUCGAACGGACCCUUCGGGGUUAGUGGCGGACGGGUGAGUAACACGUGGGAACGUGCCCUUUGGUUCGGAACAACUCAGGGAAACUUGGGCUAAUACCGAAUGUGCCCUUCGGGGGAAAGAUUUAUCGCCAUUGGAGCGGCCCGCGUCUGAUUAGCUAGUUGGUGAGGUAAAGGCUCACCAAGGCUACGAUCAGUAGCUGGUCUGAGAGGAUGAUCAGCCACACUGGGACUGAGACACGGCCCAGACUCCUACGGGAGGCAGCAGUAGGGAAUCUUGCGCAAUGGGCGAAAGCCUGACGCAGCCAUGCCGCGUGAAUGAUGAAGGUCUUAGGAUUGUAAAAUUCUUUCAGCGGGGACGAUAAUGACGGUACCCGCAGAAGAAGCCCCGGCUAACUUCGCGCCAGCAGCCGC
RNAcentral lists this ribosomal RNA (446 nucleotides) under uncultured bacterium. Its description in RNAcentral is "SSU rRNA". It matches the Rfam family "Bacterial small subunit ribosomal RNA", at positions 26 to 518 of the family's 1533-position model. The record is from RNAcentral.